RNAcentral lists this ribosomal RNA (487 nucleotides) under uncultured Actinomycetes bacterium. RNAcentral describes it as "bacterial SSU rRNA". It matches the Rfam family "Bacterial small subunit ribosomal RNA", at positions 946 to 1436 of the family's 1533-position model. Lineage: Bacteria; Bacillati; Actinomycetota; Actinomycetes. The record is from RNAcentral.
UUAAUUCGACGCAACGCGAAGAACCUUACCAAGGCUUGACAUAUACAGGAAUAUGGCAGAGAUGUCAUAGCCGCAAGGUCUGUAUACAGGUGGUGCAUGGUUGUCGUCAGCUCGUGUCGUGAGAUGUUGGGUUAAGUCCCGCAACGAGCGCAACCCUCGUUCUGUGUUGCCAGCAUUUAGUUGGGGACUCACAGGAGACUGCCGGGGUUAACUCGGAGGAAGGUGGGGAUGACGUCAAAUCAUCAUGCCCCUUAUGUCUUGGGCUGCACGCAUGCUACAAUGGCUGGUACAAACGGCUGCAAUACCGCAAGGUGGAGCGAAUCCGAGAAAGCCAGUCUCAGUUCGGAUUGGGGUCUGCAACUCGACCCCAUGAAGUCGGAGUUGCUAGUAAUCGUAGAUCAGCAACGCUACGGUGAAUACGUUCCCGGGGCUUGUACACACCGCCCGUCACGUCACGAAAGUCGGUAACACCCGAAGUCAGUGGCCC